UCUAGUGGUAUGAUUCUCGCUUUGGGUGCGAGAGGUCCCGAGUUCGAUUCUCGGAACGCCCCCGUCCUUUUUUUUCAUGACCUCGAGCAGUCAUGGAGGUAGCAUCUUUAUCUUUCAACCUCGGAAAGCGAGGCCAUGGAUGCCACCUGUAAUCAAUAAGUCAAAUAUCAAAUCAUUAUGCUCUUUUGCUUCUAAACAAAAAGACCAGAGAAGCCGACAAAGAAGGUAAAAUACCAAAACGAAAACUGAGGGGGCAUUCCGAGAAUCGAACUCGGGCCCCGUCCUUUUUUUACAUGACGUCGAGUCAUUAUGCUCUUUUGCUUCUAAACCAAAAGACCAAAGAAGCCGCAACAGAAGGUAAAAUACCAAAAGGAAAACUGAGGGGGCAUUCCGAGAAUUGAACUCGGGACCUCUCGCACCCUAAGCGAGAAUCAUACCACUAGACCAAAUGCCCGCUUGCUUUCGAUUUAGAUCAGUACGUUAUAUUUGUAGUUAAAUAUCUGCGACACGUUUCCCUCCAAAAGAUUAUUUCUGAGUCCCUUUUUUUUCGUGCCGUUUUUCCAUUGCCCCUCCAAAACUCAAAAUCCCACACUGCUUUCGUUGCAUAAAAAUCGGGUUUUACGUCACCCUUAUAGUGUUCCUUUCCAUUAUUUAAGAAAAUUUAAGUUUUCCAGCAAAUGAUCAUUUCAUCACAGGGAAAAAUCCAACACUAAACAGAGGUUCUAACAAAUUGAAUGGCUGAUUAUGAUCAUAACGACACUGACACUUUGUUCUUUGACUCUCAGUCCCCAUCCGGAAGUAAAGGUGGAGAGUUGCAAAACACUGCCGUUUUUUAUGAUACCAUGGUGCUUGAUAGUUCUGUAAAUGAAAAUGAAACCCAGUUGGAGAAUAUUUGCUUUGACACUGAAGUCGCGGAUAACGAUGAUGAUGAUGAUCUGAGUAAUAAUAUGGAGGAUGUGAAAGUUGAACCAGUAAUGUGUGAGCUUGAUAUGGAAAUUGUGCUUGAUAGUGAGGAUGAAGAAAUUUGUAGAGCCAAGGCUGAAAAUUUCCUUGAUGGUAGUAAGAUCACGGAUAGAAGUGAAGGGAAAGUGGCAAAGAAGAGGGAAGGGCAAAGCCCAUGUUUAGAUGCUGAUUCAACUGACGAACAAAUCGGUGCAGGGAAGAAAGGGUCUUCCACCAAUCUUGAUAGCAGUGAUGGGAAAAAAGAUGUGCCUCAGUUGUCAGUAGGUGAUCAUGAGAUUGGAAGGUUGGAAUAUGUUAAUUCUCAGGAACCGGAAUGGUCAUCCCAAGCUAAUGCACUUUGCUUUGUGGAUAACUUCUUGAGGUUUAAUAAUGUGGAUAUGUGUCAAGGAGUUGAAGAGAGAACCAGUGCAAGGAACGAAUCACCUCUUGUUUCCAGUGCAAAGGGAACUCAACGUUUGGCUAAGAUAAUCAAGCGGGGAUCUCUGGUCAAAGAAGUGGGAACUUUUAAUUGGUUUGAGAGUUAUCAGCAAGUAGAGACUGAUUCCUUUAGCAAGAGGAUGACAGCAUCUUUUGAAUUUGGAGGCUUUGGGCAGAGGACAGAUAAAAGGCAUCAAAAUCUCCAGAAUAAAGGGCAAAGAAGCUUAAGUAAUGAGCAUGAAGAGAAGAAAGAGUUUCCAGACCUCCACAGGGACGUUAGAGGUCCAAGUCAUUCACAUUCAAGUUUCAUGGAUCGGGGUUCGAAAGUGAGUAUCAUGAUAGAACAUGAAUCUGAAAGGAAUCUCAUAAAUGGAUCCUUUAAGGAGUUGGAUAAACCCAAGCAGAGAGAAUCAUCAUGGGAGAAGUUUCAAACCAGUGGUACUGCAACAGACAUACCAGACACAUUUGAAGUCGGUAUAAGCACUCAAAUAGCUGCAGAAGCGAUGGAAGCUUUAUAUUAUGGCUUCCCUCCUGGUUGCAAAGGUGGUGAUACAUUUGAAGGCCUAGAGGAUAGCCUCAAAGAUCUUCCUGAAGGUGAAACAAAGAGUAGAACCCAUUUGGAGCAACAUUCCCUUCAAAAAGUUGCUGCCUGUGAGCUAGGAGAAGUUGCAAAAGAGUCAAUUCGAAGAAAGCGUUCUGCUAGAAGAAAUAGUAAGAACAUUUCUAAUUCUUCUUGGAACUGUAAUUAUCAGGAAUUGAAUCACACAACAAAACCAAAAACAUAUAAGAGCAAGCAAUUAGAGGUAGAUGAAUCUGUGAGCAGCAAUAACCUAAAAAAGUGUGAGACUUAUUUGAGUCCAUCUAUUCCAGAUGAGCAAACCAUGCUCAGGAAAAAAUUGCCACGGGAGGAACCCGUCAUUCAACAAACUAGGCACUUGGAAGGAGGAGCUUCCAUGAAAAGGACUAAGGACCAACCAGAUAGACCAAGGGUAAUGACCAAUAAUGUUAAGGAGGGCAGUAUACUCACAUAUAAGAGAAAGAGGAAAAGCCUGUUUGCUGAUCCGCCUAAAUUGUUGAGUGGGAAGCAGAAAUGCUCCAAGCUGCGUUCUCAUGCCUCUGCUGAAGCUUUAGAUGGCAAACUGAGUGAACCAGGGCAAAGUAGUCCACAAGAAGCUGCUAUAGGCAGAUUUUUGAGAUUAGGUCCAUGGAACUGUCCCAAAGGCAAAAGAACACAUCAUAAAAUUCCAAUCCAUUCCUGUGGACAAAGUAAUAUGCAUGCUUCAUUCACUAGUGUUGGUGCAGAAGAACACAACCUGUGUUCUUUCAAAAGUCAAAAUAAGCCAGAAGAUGAUGAAACCACUUCUAAUAACUUAAACAUGAAGGGUCGAGUUCUUACUUUCCUCUCUCAACUUUCUUUAGAAAAUAAUUCUGAUGAAAGCUUAUCAAAACAGAAUUGUAAGGAACAAGUUACAGAUAUUGUUGCAAACAAUGAUUCAGCAGUCACUAGCAUUAGAAUAUCUCCUUGGGACUUGGAUAAAGCCAAGGCCAUCCAAGCUGGCAAGCUAGAUUAUAUGGAUUCUACAUUGAUCAUUAACAGUUUAAAGAACCAUAGUUUUGGAGAAUCACUAAGAAAGAGUAUUGAACUGUCUGGUACCAAAUGCAACACUACACUUAGUUGUGCAAAAGGUGUAAAUGAGGCAUCACUCAACAACAGGCCUUACGUAUAUCACAGAAGAUCUUGCAACAAAAACCUACCAAAACCAUCACUUUUGAAAGAGCUUAUGGGAUUAGGUGUUCCUGAGUCAAUAUCUAAUUUUACAAGGAAAGUUUUCAGACCACGAAAAGAACCGGCCUAUGUUCGAGUCUUGUUUAGCCAGCAUUUAGAUGAUGAUGUAAUCAAGCAGCAGAAAAAGAUCUCUGCACGACUAGGUAUUUCUAUCACAUCAUGUUCUAUGGACGCCACACAUUUCAUAGCAGACAAAUUUGUGCGUACAAGGAACAUGUUGGAAACCAUUGCUCUUGGCAAACCAGUGGUGACACGUCUAUGGCUUGAUAGCUGUGGACAGGCAAAUUGCUUACUUGAUGAGAAAAAUUACAUCCUGAGGGACUCCAAAAAGGAAAGGGAAAUUGGCUUUAGUAUGGCUAUUUCAUUGGCUCGUGCAAGACAGUUUCCACUUUUAAAGGAUAAAAGAGUCUGCAUCACCCAAAAUGUUAAACCUAAUCAAGAGAUGAUUACUGGCUUGGUCAAAGCAGUUGGAGGUGAGGUUGUGGAGACAAGUCAGAAAUUGGCAGUAAAAGAUCAAAAGAUUCCAGAUGAUCUGUUGGUUCUUUCUUGUGAAGAAGAUCUAGCAAUCUGUGCACCUUUACUUGAUAAAGGUUGUACAUUAUUAUUUCCUUUUGUUCUUUCAAUUAAAUGAUCACUCAGCUUUGUGGUAAACGAACAAGUUUACUUUUAAGUGCAGGAGCAGCGGUGUAUAGUUCAGAGCUUCUGCUGAACGGGAUCGUCAUCCAAAAAUUGGAAUAUGAGCGGCAUCAGCUCUUCGCCAAAUUUGCCAAAGAAAAAAGAGAGAUCUCAGAGAGGAAUAGACACAGCAGGAUGCCAAGCAAAAACUGAUCUCUCUUCUUACGGACAACUGUAACUAAAAUUAGUCGGUCAUAUUUUGUAUGAAGUACUCUUCUACGGAUAACAAUGUCAACUUAAAGGGAGAGAAGUAGCCUUUGACUGUUAUAAAACUUUUAGAUUUUAUACCUAUUUUGCUAAGUAAGACUUCUUAAUGGUUCUCGAAUUACAUAAUUUUUCUCCGAUCCCAAUCUUCAACAUCAAAUACCUCUUACAAACGAAGGCUUUUAUUGCUAUUGUUUAGCUCCAAAUACAGGACUUCGAAGCCCAAAGAUAGCAGGAGAAAAGGGGAGAGAGAGUUUGUUUUCAAGCAGCUUUCAACAUUGGAUAAACCAGCGAUGAAAGGCUCUUAAUUAGGAGCUCAACUCCAGAAUAGAAUGCACAUAUUCUGGAAUCCUACACUCACCGCCUUCUCACAGCACCUUUGUCUUGAAAAGGCUCUCAUCCAAGCCGAAAGAGUAUGACAUGAUAACAAAUCCCAUGAGAAUGAUAACCAUACGUACUUGCAACGUGGUGCAGCAAUUACAGCUCCUCAAAAGAGUCCCUAGGCAUGUUCAUUAUAUGGUCAUUAUGAUUUGUGAUGCCCGGAAGAAGAAACUAAAACUGGAGAAGCUCCCAUUACAACAAAUAAAACGAGGCUACAUAAAUAACAAAUCAUCAAGAGACAGCUAUUAAUAUUUCAUUCCCUCACAUUCAUCAAGGCUCCAGAUCUAAAAGCAACUUUCAACAGCAUUACAAGCAAAAUCUCACCAAAAUUGUAGUGAAUAUAA
Molecule: non-coding RNA, 4770 nt
Organism: Durio zibethinus
Lineage: Eukaryota; Viridiplantae; Streptophyta; Magnoliopsida; Malvales; Malvaceae
Source: RefSeq, a predicted model, not a curated record